AGCUGCUCCACACCUCAGCAUAUGCUCUGCCUCACUUGCUUCCUCACUGUUAAAAUGACAACGGACGCCGUCUUCGGUGCUUCCAACACCCUCGGUUCCCUCUCGCGGCCCGGCCUUCCUACGCUGCUACGUUGUGCAUUACCCACAACAGCAAAAAUGUUCCACUGGUGGUUUCAAGAUUCCUAAAAAAAUAGAUUCAAAACAUCUUUAAUACUCUCUGAAGAAGCAAUACAUCACAGGAAAAGCUGUAACCUUUCCUGUUGCUGAUACUAUCCAGACUGCGGGCUGAUGAGGACGGUAACUGCAGCCAAUUCGUAUUCUGCGUGGCUGCCGCUGGAGGUGCACAGGAGCUGGUCCACCCACCCUCCACACUCCCAACCAAGGAAGCUGCUGAAUUUCUGAGUGUUUGCCUAAUGCCCUUUUAUAUAACCUGAAAAGAGUCACAGUACUUGAAGGCAGUAUUUUCCAAGAAACAGCCUUCCCCUAUUAACGCAACAUCCCUGAAAAUAAUACUGCUGUUUCUACGGCAGUGACAGGCCCUGCAUGGAACGCAUUUUUCCUUCCUUUUUUCCCCAUCACAGAGCCACGGGCAAGAAGCUGCGGCGGCAGAGCCUCGUCAAAGCCAGCUGGACAGAGGGAUGGCUACUUGCAUUGUUAAGUAGGAGCGCUUCACAGUGACCAUGGGCCAGCCUGGAACUGCCUUCCCCCAGGACGGGGGGACAGGCGUGAGUGGGUGUGAAGCACAGGGAAGCUUCUCUGCCUGGUGAUCCCAAGAGGGCCUGCAACAGGUGCCCUGCCUGGCUGAAGGAGGAGGCUGCCGGGAAAUCAGACUCGGAUUUGCCAGCUUACAACUCAAACCGGGCUGGGCAAACACGCUGCGAUACGGCGGUCACGGCUGUAAUUCAGAGAGAAUGCUCAGAAAUGGGAAACAAAAACACAAGGCAGGAUGCCCCUUUGUGCUGGAAGUCAGAAUCUCCAUGUGUUCUUCUCGCUGCCCGCCGAGGUCUGAGCGGGGCCCUGCUGUGAAUGACCCCGGGAACGGUGCCAGAGUCACACAGACUUGGUGCAGACAACAGAGCUACCUUUCAGGGGCUCUGUGUCCUUGGACAGGUCACUAGACUUCUCUGAACCCGUUCGCUCAUUUCCAGAAAGGGAUAAGAUCUCUCUUACAGUUCAUGGGGUGCGCAAGAAUGAUGGGUGCCAAGCCCAUGACCCCAGGUUCUGGCAAGGAAUCGGCCUCUCCAAAAAUGAUGGUUUUUAUUAUUCUCACUAUUCUAGAAAAUGUCUUUGUGAAUUGUUUGCUUGAUUGAAACGGUUUCUUUUUAAUAAAAUCUUGAUUUUAAAAAGCC
Molecule: long non-coding RNA, 1349 nt
Organism: Homo sapiens (human)
Lineage: Eukaryota; Metazoa; Chordata; Mammalia; Primates; Hominidae
Exons: 2
Source: RefSeq, a predicted model, not a curated record